RNAcentral lists this long non-coding RNA (1445 nucleotides) under Felis catus (domestic cat). Its description in RNAcentral is "lncRNA (ENSFCAG00000051656.1)". The record is from RNAcentral. Lineage: Eukaryota; Metazoa; Chordata; Mammalia; Carnivora; Felidae.
CAGAAUUAAUUUCUUAAAGAAUAGAAAAGUGUCAUGAAGAAUAUGUACUUUACCAUGCCUAUCCGGACUUGCAUCUUUCUUUAGAACUUUGUGGCUUGGGAAGAUGCCUGGCUGUCUCAGUCCGUAGAAUAUGCGAUUUUUAAUCCUGGGCUUGUGAGUUCAAGCCCUGCAUUGAUUACUUAAAAAUUAAAAAAGAUUACUUAAAAAUGAAAAAAACCUUUAAAAACUUCGUGGUUUGGAAAGGAAAUGGAAAGGGAAACAGUAAGGAUGCUCCAGAACUGGAGAUUGGGUCUGAGAUAAAACAGCAGUACGCUAAAGGCAUCCCAGAUGCCAGAGGAGGCAGAACUCAGGCAGUUGCCAUAGCAGUAGUCAGCACUGAGCAAUUGAUCGCGUGAAAUGUGGGUGUUGCUAGAUGGAGGCUUUGAUAGGUGAAGAACCUUUGUGUUGGCGGUUAUGAAAACCUUGCAGGUAAGGAAGACUGUGAUUAAAUGAAGCAAUCUCAGAGUCUGAGAAAGGCAGGAUAUUGAUGCAUGGCUCUUAGGGAAAGAGAGCUCAUGGAAUCAAGGAUUUCACAUGGGACAAGUUUUAUUACUCGUUUGAGGUUCUAUACACACGUGGACAAAAUUUCAAAUAUUAAAGGACUCUGUAGUCAACACCGUUGGUGCCCACGCAGGUCUUCCGCCUGGCCAGCACACCCAUUCGAGGCUGCUGAGUCUUGGCUGUUAGGGCUCACAGCUGCAACCUUCUCCAGAGAAUUGCUCUUGGCCAAGUGGGAUCUGCUUCCCGGAGUGAUUGCCUCCCACCCCCAGGUGCAACCCACAGCCAAUAAUUGACCCAAUGCAUGGGUACAAAAAGCUGGCUCUUCUGCCUCAAGGUGGGAUCAAUACUUGGUGGCAAUUUGUGCUCCUGCUUCCACGGUGUGAACAGGUAGAGACAACAUCCUCGCUUAGCUACUUCUCCAGCUUUAUCCUGCUUUUCUUACUCCCUGACUCCUGGGAGCACUCCCUCAAUCAACCACAUGCAUACCAUUUCCUGUUUCAGUCUCUGCUUCCAGAGAAUUUGACCCCAAGCAGUAAUGUGGCUGACCCUUGUUCAACCCAAGUUUGAACUGUGAGGGUCCACUUAUACGUGAUAUAUAUAUAUAUUUUUUUGAAAAAUACAGUAGAGUACUGCAAAUGUAUUUUCUCUUCCUUAUGAUUUUCUUUCUUUCUUAAAAAGUAUUUUUGUUUUAGAGACAGAGACCGUGAGCAGAGACAGGAGCAGACGGACAGAGAGAAUCUAAAGCAGACUCCAUGCUCAGCACCGAGCCUCAAGUGGGGCUCAUUCCCACGACCUGGGAUCAUGACCUGAGCUGAAAUCAAGCUGGACACACUACCAACUGAGCCACCCAGGUACCCCCUUAUGAUUUUCUUAAUAGCUUUUUCUUAAUAGCUCUUUCUUAAUAG